This 224-nucleotide long non-coding RNA is filed under the name Elaeis guineensis (African oil palm). RNAcentral's name for it is "long non-coding RNA (EGUI_LNC016433)". The record is from RNAcentral. Lineage: Eukaryota; Viridiplantae; Streptophyta; Magnoliopsida; Arecales; Arecaceae.
GUUUUGGCCCUUAUCUAAAGGACCUAAACACAAAUCUAUGGCAAUAUGAUCUCAUGGGAAUAGACCAAAGUAGAACACAUGCAUGCAGAGCCAACCAUCACUAUGUUCCAAUUCCAAGUUUAGCCUUCUUAAUCCAACAAGCACCAACCAUAGACCCCUUGAGCCAAUCAGAUCAAAUCUUUGUUCGGGAAAGACCUAGACCUGACCCAAUUCUCACUUGCGGC